CCUCUUGCAGAAAUGACCUUCCCACUAGUUCAUUGAAUAUCUCAAUGCCCAUGACGUGCAAAUCCAUUUCUCUUCUGCAAGAAAUAAAACCAUUUGCCAUCCACAAAGCAACCAACUCCUCCCUCCUCAUCACGUGAUCUUUUGGAAAUAUAGCGCAAUACGCAAAGCAUUGCUUCAAAUGUGGUGAUAGAUUAGUGUAACUCAACCUCAAAGCAGGUAAAAUCUUGCUUGCUUCUUCUCUUAGAUCCCAAAUCUCACUUUCUUUGACAGCUAUCCACUGAUCUUCAUUAUCUUUAAGCCGCAUUAGGUUCCCGAGUGCCUUUAUAGCUAAAGGAACACCACCACACUUCUUCACUAUUGAUACUCCAAUGGCUUCCAGGUGUGCCCGCUCCUCUUUCCUUCUCAUCCCGAAUGCAAGCUGUUGAAACAACUGCCAAGAAUCUUCUUCAGACAAUCUCCCCAUGUGCCUGACAGGAGCUGUUGCCAUUCUAUGAGCAACCAUCUCAAUACGCGUAGUUACUAUGACAGCACUACCUUUAGCUCCACACCUUAAUACCUCCUUCAAUUUAUUCCACCUAUCACCAUAAUCAUCCCACACAUCAUCCAAUACAAGCAAAAACUUCUUUCCAUUUAACUUCUGUUGGAGGCAUCGUUGCAAGGGAUCCAAUUCUUGAAGACCACAAGGAGCACCAUCAAUGGACUCUAUGAUGGCUCUUGUUAAUCUUCCGAGAUCGAAAUCAGUAGAUACACACACCCAGAUCCUCAAACUGAAUUGUUGUUUAACACUUUCUUCAUUGAAGACCAGUUGAACAAGUGUUGUUUUACCCAGCCCCCCCAUCCCCAUUAUAGCAUGAAUAGGGAGAUCACCUGAAGUAGUGAGCAGCAUGUUGAUUAGUUCCUCUUUCUCCUUGCCUCUUCCAUAAAUUUCUGAUUCAUUCACCGAAGACCAAGUCUGACGCUGAACAAAACUAUCUGCUUCCAUCUCCACAGCGCCCUCUGUUAGGUGGAAAUUUUGUCUCUCCUUGGCAAUGGCAUCUAGUUUUUCUCUAACAUUCUUCAAUUUAUGAGCCAUCCUUUGUCGAAAAACAAGUGGAUUAUG
This is a long non-coding RNA of Populus trichocarpa (black cottonwood), 1099 nucleotides long. RefSeq lists it as uncharacterized. The transcript is spliced from 2 exons. The record is from RefSeq and is a predicted model, not a curated record. NCBI's taxonomy places the organism in Eukaryota, Viridiplantae, Streptophyta, Magnoliopsida, Malpighiales, Salicaceae.